Molecule: ribosomal RNA, 465 nt
Filed under: Vreelandella stevensii
Lineage: Bacteria; Pseudomonadati; Pseudomonadota; Gammaproteobacteria; Oceanospirillales; Halomonadaceae
Description: partial 16S ribosomal RNA
Rfam family: Bacterial small subunit ribosomal RNA
Source: RNAcentral
CCUACGGGAGGCAGCAGUGGGGAAUAUUGGACAAUGGGGGCAACCCUGAUCCAGCCAUGCCGCGUGUGUGAAGAAGGCCCUCGGGUUGUAAAGCACUUUCAGUGAGGAAGAACGCCUGGUGGUUAAUACCCAUCAGGAAAGACAUCACUCACAGAAGAAGCACCGGCUAACUCCGUGCCAGCAGCCGCGGUAAUACGGAGGGUGCGAGCGUUAAUCGGAAUUACUGGGCGUAAAGCGCGCGUAGGUGGCUUGAUAAGCCGGUUGUGAAAGCCCCGGGCUCAACCUGGGAACGGCAUCCGGAACUGUCAAGCUAGAGUGCAGGAGAGGAAGGUAGAAUUCCCGGUGUAGCGGUGAAAUGCGUAGAGAUCGGGAGGAGUACCAGUGGCGAAGGCGGCCUUCUGGACUGACACUGACACUGAGGUGCGAAAGCGUGGGUAGCAAACAGGAUUAGAUACCCCAGUAGUC